UGGUAUAUAGUUUAUCUAAAACAAAUGAUUUCGACUCAUUAGAUUAUGAACACUCAUAUUUACCAA
This 66-nucleotide transfer RNA is filed under the name Saguinus inustus (mottle-faced tamarin). RNAcentral's name for it is "tRNA-Arg". The record is from RNAcentral. Lineage: Eukaryota; Metazoa; Chordata; Mammalia; Primates; Cebidae.